CAAACUCCGCGAGGUAUUAACCCGCACUGGGCGGAGCGGGGACCGGAACUUCCGACUACGCACUUCCGCUUCCGGUGUUUAGCGUUGACUCUUGCCCCGGCUCUGCCUUCAAGCGAGGAGGUUGUGGUAUCGGCUGGUUCCCAGCGAUUCGAGACAGGAUGAUCGAGGUUGUUUGCAACGACCGUCUGGGGAAGAAGGUCCGCGUUAAGUGCAACACUGAUGACACCAUCGGGGACCUUAAGAAGCUGAUUGCAGCCCAAACUGGCACCCGCUGGAACAAGAUCGUAUUGAAGAAGUGGUACACGAUUUUUAAGGACCACGUGUCUCUGGGGGACUAUGAAAUCCAUGAUGGGAUGAACCUGGAGCUUUAUUACCAGUAGAGCAGAAUUCCUUCUUCCUGCUCCCCUGUGGCCUCCUCUCUUCUCCCAUCCCCACUCCCCCAUGCUAGUAUGGAUGCUUGUUUUAAAAAACUCAUGUUAAUAAAAAGUUGGAGCCUG
Camelus dromedarius (Arabian camel) is the source of this 497-nucleotide long non-coding RNA. RefSeq annotates it as ubiquitin like 5. The transcript is spliced from 5 exons. NCBI's taxonomy places the organism in Eukaryota, Metazoa, Chordata, Mammalia, Artiodactyla, Camelidae. The record is from RefSeq and is a predicted model, not a curated record.